AUUCCAUGAUGAGGGCACUUCCGUAAUGAUUCUUUGUACCUUUUCCAUGUGUCAUAUAAGGACUCAUCAUCCAUUUUUUAGAAAGCAGUGAUCUCGCUCCUCAAUUU
Molecule: non-coding RNA, 107 nt
Organism: Gossypium hirsutum (cotton)
Lineage: Eukaryota; Viridiplantae; Streptophyta; Magnoliopsida; Malvales; Malvaceae
Source: Rfam